AUUGAACGCUGGCGGCAGGCUUAACACGUGCCAGUCGAGCGGUAGCACAGGGGAGCUUGCUCCCUGGGUGACGAGCGGCGGACGGGUGAGUAAUGUCUGGGAAACUGCCUGAUGGAGGGGGAUAACUACUGGAAACGGUAGCUAAUACCGCAUAACGUCGCAAGACCAAAGAGGGGGACCUUCGGGCCUCUUGCCAUCAGAUGUGCCCAGAUGGGAUUAGCUAGUAGGUGGGGUAAUGGCUCACCUAGGCGACGACCCCUAGCUGGUCUGAGAGGAUGACCAGCCACACUGGAACUGAGACACGGUCCAGACUCCUACGGGAGGCAGCAGUGGGGAAUAUUGCACAAUGGGCGCAAGCCUGAUGCAGCCAUGCCGCGUGUGUGAAGAAGGCCUUCGGGUUGUAAAGCACUUUCAGCGAGGAGGAAGGUGGUGAGCUUAAUACGUUCAUCAAUUGACGUUACUCGCAGAAGAAGCACCGGCUAACUCCGUG
Molecule: ribosomal RNA, 490 nt
Filed under: uncultured bacterium
Lineage: Bacteria
Description: partial 16S ribosomal RNA
Rfam family: Bacterial small subunit ribosomal RNA
Source: RNAcentral